UAAAGUUAAAUUCAGAUGGUUUAGAAAAAGGAAAAAAAAAAAAGAAAAAGGAGCAGUGUAAUUACCAAAGACCUUGGUAUAACCAUUAGACUUUAUCAUGCUUACAUUGUUAUGGGGAAAAUGUCUUUGGUUGUUGAAAACAAAACAAGUUUAUGGUUUUCUUGAUUCACGUCGAUCAGACACGUGUCAAUUUAUUGUGGAAUUUUGUGGUCUUAUGUUUUGUACUUAGUACGGGCAUACUUUUUGGCAUUUUCUCGAUUAUCAAACU
Molecule: long non-coding RNA, 268 nt
Organism: Arabidopsis thaliana (thale cress)
Lineage: Eukaryota; Viridiplantae; Streptophyta; Magnoliopsida; Brassicales; Brassicaceae
Product: other RNA
Exons: 1
Source: RefSeq